Molecule: ribosomal RNA, 465 nt
Filed under: Vreelandella stevensii
Lineage: Bacteria; Pseudomonadati; Pseudomonadota; Gammaproteobacteria; Oceanospirillales; Halomonadaceae
Description: partial 16S ribosomal RNA
Rfam family: Bacterial small subunit ribosomal RNA
Source: RNAcentral
CCUACGGGGGGCAGCUGUGGGGAAUAUUGGACAAUGGGGGCAACCCUGAUCCAGCCAUGCCGCGUGUGUGAAGAAGGCCCUCGGGUUGUAAAGCACUUUCAGUGAGGAAGAACGCCUGGUGGUUAAUACCCAUCAGGAAAGACAUCACUCACAGAAGAAGCACCGGCUAACUCCGUGCCAGCAGCCGCGGUAAUACGGAGGGUGCGAGCGUUAAUCGGAAUUACUGGGCGUAAAGCGCGCGUAGGUGGCAUGAUAAGCCGGUUGUGAAAGCCCCGGGCUCAACCUGGGAACGGCAUCCGGAACUGUCAAGCUAGAGUGCAGGAGAGGAAGGUAGAAUUCCCGGUGUAGCGGUGAAAUGCGUAGAGAUCGGGAGGAAUACCAGUGGCGAAGGCGGCCUUCUGGACUGACACUGACACUGAGGUGCGAAAGCGUGGGUAGCAAACAGGAUUAGAUACCCUGGUAGUC